GUCUAUGGCCAAGCCACCCUGAACGUACCUGAUCUCGUCUGAUCUCAAGUUAAGCAGGAUUGGGCCUGGUUAGUACUCGGAUGGGAGACCACCUAGGAAUACCAGGUGCUGUACGCA
Ribosomal RNA from Pteropus vampyrus (large flying fox), 117 nucleotides. NCBI's taxonomy places the organism in Eukaryota, Metazoa, Chordata, Mammalia, Chiroptera, Pteropodidae. The record is from Ensembl.